Bemisia tabaci is the source of this 521-nucleotide non-coding RNA. The record is from RefSeq and is a predicted model, not a curated record. NCBI's taxonomy places the organism in Eukaryota, Metazoa, Arthropoda, Insecta, Hemiptera, Aleyrodidae.
UUUUAAUGUAAGUAUUCCGGCUGUGACUUUGUGUUCAUGACGCACUCCAUUGGUUUGCAAUAGUACAGAAAAUCUCCUUGAAAUUCUCAAUUCUAAGAUAAAUUUCUUUCACGGAUGUAUAAAGUAAUCCUCGGAAGAAACAAUAUCGAAAAAAGACAUUGAAGGGUGAAUAAUUGACCUUCAUCAAACGAACAUGAACAGAUUUUUCAGGUAUAUUUGUGAAGCUCUAAUUAUAAUAUCGAAUGCUUGGUGGAAAAGGAGUAUUUGGCUGGGGCUACUCGUCAAUUUUUAAUUCUCUCGUCCAUCUCACCUCAGGUAAGGGAUGAAAAAUGCCUCCAGGCGAAUCAAAUUCCCGAGCAACAGCUUGUGGAAUCUCAAUGGAUUUUCGCUUCAUCUUUUACUCUAUCCAUCGUUUCAUACACAUGUGACAAAUUGCUGACCGCUCGGAUUGUGGCAUAAUGUAAUGCUAUUGACCCAAAUUAUUUCAAAAUCAAUGAAUAAAUAACUUUUAUGUGUCAAAA